AAUAGAUACCCAGGUAGUCCAUGCCGUAAACGUUGGGCACUAGGUGUGGGGCUCAUUCCACGAGUUCCGUGCCGCAGCAAACGCAUUAAGUGCCCCGCCUGGGGAGUACGGCCGCAAGGCUAAAACUCAAAGGAAUUGACGGGGGCCCGCACAAGCGGCGGAGCAUGCGGAUUAAUUCGAUGCAACGCGAAGAACCUUGCCAAGGCUUGACAUGCACGGGAAGCCACCAGAGAUGGUGGUCUCUUUGGACACUCGUGCACAGGUGGUGCAUGGUUGUCGUCAGCUCGUGUCGUGAGAUGUUGGGUUAAGUCCCGCAACGAGCGCAACCCUCGUCCCAUGUUGCCAGCGGGUUAUGCCGGGGACUCAUGGGAGACUGCCGGGGUCAACUCGGAGGAAGGUGGGGAUGACGUCAAAUCAUCAUGCCCCCUUAUGUCUUGGGCUUCACGCAUGCUACAAUGGCCGGUACAAAGGGCUGCGAUACCGUAAGGUGGAGCGAAUCCCAAAAAGCCGGUCUCAGUUCGGAUUGGGGUCG
This 532-nucleotide ribosomal RNA is filed under the name uncultured bacterium. RNAcentral's name for it is "bacterial SSU rRNA". It matches the Rfam family "Bacterial small subunit ribosomal RNA", at positions 777 to 1306 of the family's 1533-position model. The record is from RNAcentral.